This 893-nucleotide long non-coding RNA is filed under the name Dunaliella salina. RNAcentral's name for it is "long non-coding RNA (DSAL_LNC000107)". The record is from RNAcentral. Lineage: Eukaryota; Viridiplantae; Chlorophyta; Chlorophyceae; Chlamydomonadales; Dunaliellaceae.
UACCUCGGCUUUGCAUACAUCUUUGCCAAUGCUUGCUCUGCAAGGGCAGCGUGCAUCUCAUGCAGCUGCUGCAGCUUCCCCUCAGCCACCUGCGCUUCUCGCUGCAGCUCCUCCCUCAGCCGGCCACCCUCCUCCUAGAAGACAAUGGUGGGCACCAGCAAAAAGAUGGACAUCUCAUUGGCCUCAAAAUCUGCUUAAAUGCAAACUUGCAUUCAAAAAAGAAGGAUCUUUCAGACUAAGGCCCCUCUUUCCCCAAACCAGACAACAAGGUACCGAUCUGCUCCUCUUUCAUUUCUGCAUCCAUCCGCAUACUCAGCACCCUUGCCAUGUGCCCAGGCAACACCAACACUUGGCAGCAGCUGCUGCAGCAUCAGGGUAAUUUUUGCAAGGAUCAAAUUGCAACAUGAGGCACAAAGCAGGAGUGCUGUGGCUCAGGAGCGCCGUGCACACCUGCAGUGCCCUGAUGCGAGCCAACUGCUCCUCUGGAUUUGGCGGCUCAGGAACUCUACGAGCUACGGCUUCUAUAUUCUUGAUUGCCUGCAAUGAAAAUAGAGGGAUGUGUGGAGUGUUUAAACAGGUGCACGAGCUGGUAGCUGAACACAGCAACAGUCGGGGUGGUGCUUUUGGUGCCUUAGAAAGGAUAUGUGGGGAUUUGUUGCUCAGGCACACAACAGGAUCCAACACUUGCAAGAUCCAGCUCGAGCAACAACUGAUGAAGCAUGCCUAGCCAGCACAGCUUUUUGCACCAAAUCCUUUGACACCUGCAAUUAUCAUGGGAAGGUAUAAGAAACAAAGCACAUGUUUGCUUUGAAGCACGCGCCUACCUGGACCAGCUCCAGAGCAAAUCCAUCUGCUCGCUGCCGCGCAUCGUAUGUUGUGGGGGCCAACGGAGG